RNAcentral lists this ribosomal RNA (390 nucleotides) under uncultured bacterium. RNAcentral describes it as "bacterial SSU rRNA". It matches the Rfam family "Bacterial small subunit ribosomal RNA", at positions 959 to 1352 of the family's 1533-position model. The record is from RNAcentral.
ACGCGAGGAACCUUACCAAGGCUUAAAUGGGAAUUCGAUCGGUUUAGAAAUAGACCUUCCUUCGGGCAAUUUUCAAGGUGCUGCAUGGUUGUCGUCAGCUCGUGCCGUGAGGUGUUAGGUUAAGUCCUGCAACGAGCGCAACCCCUGUUACUAGUUGCUACCAUUAAGUUGAGGACUCUAGUAAGACUGCCUACGCAAGUAGAGAGGAAGGUGGGGAUGACGUCAAAUCAUCACGGCCCUUACGCCUUGGGCCACACACGUAAUACAAUGGCCGGUACAGAGGGCAGCUACACAGCGAUGUGAUGCAAAUCUCGAAAGCCGGUCUCAGUUCGGAUUGGGAGUCUGCAACUCGACUCUAUGAAGCUGGAAUCGCUAGUAAUCGCGCAUCAG